RNAcentral lists this ribosomal RNA (425 nucleotides) under uncultured delta proteobacterium. RNAcentral describes it as "bacterial SSU rRNA". It matches the Rfam family "Bacterial small subunit ribosomal RNA", at positions 608 to 1029 of the family's 1533-position model. Lineage: Bacteria; Deltaproteobacteria. The record is from RNAcentral.
CUCAACCGGGGGAUGGCACUUGAAACUGCGUAGCUGGAGUUCUGGAGAGGGUGGCGGAAUUCCCGGUGUAGGAGUGAAAUCCGUAGAGAUCGGGAAGAACACCAGAGGCGAAGGCGGCCACCUGGCCAGAAACUGACGCUGAGGCGCGAAAGCGUGGGUAGCAAACAGGAUUAGAUACCCUGGUAGUCCACGCUGUAAACACUGGAUGCUAGAUGCGGGUGGCGUAGAAGUCAUUCGUGUCGCAGCUAACGCGUUAAGCAUCCCGCCUGGGGAGUACGGCCGCAAGGCUGAAACUCAAAGGAAUUGACGGGGGCCUGCACAAGCGGUGGAGUAUGUGGUUUAAUUCGAUGCAACGCGAAGAACCUUACCUGGGCUUGACAUCCCGGGAAUCGCCUGGAGACAGGCGAGUGCCCUUCGGGGAGGCC